AGCAUGAAACUCCGUGUGGCGGGCGUCCCUAGUAUUCUAAGGUAGCACAGAGCCUGGGGAGGCUGUGAGCUGGGACAGCAGCUGCGAUUGGUGUUAACCUUUUGAACAAAAGUGGGAGGGACAGUGAGGGACCAGGCUGGAAGGGGGUUGGAGGUGGGCCUGGGCUUGGGAUCUGCUCAUCUGUGUGUCUUUCAUACUCAGGGUCACAUCCGGGAUAUUACAGACAGCCUGAUAGAGCACUGUGAGGACAGGAAGCUGGAUGAGAAUGCCAAUAUUCAGCUUUCAGACCACAAGAUCAUUAGCAUUGUCCUUGACCUCUUUGGAGCUGGUUUUGACACAGUCACAACUGCCAUCUCCUGGAGCCUCCUGUACCUGGUGACGAACCCAAGGGUACAGAGAAAGAUCCAGGAGGAGCUGGACACAGUGAUUGGCAGGGAGCGGCGGCCCCGGCUCACUGACAGAAGCCAGUUGCCCUACCUGGAAGCCUUCAUCAUGGAGGUCUUCCGACACUCCUCCUUCUUGCCCUUCACCAUCCCGCACAGCACCAUAAGAGACACAAGUCUGAGUGGCUUUUACAUCCCCAAGGGGCGCUGUGUCUUUGUGAACCAGUGGCAGAUUAACCAUGAUGAGUAAGUUGUAAGGGGCAGCGGAAACUCUUGGGUGGGCUGGGCCACCCUCCCUUGGGCUCAGAUCCUUCUGUCUAUGUGCCAUUUUCCCAUCCCUGUCCUUUGGGGCCCAACCCACUUAAUGCUUCUGAACCCCAAGCUGUCCCU
Non-coding RNA from Heterocephalus glaber (naked mole-rat), 773 nucleotides. The record is from RefSeq and is a predicted model, not a curated record. NCBI's taxonomy places the organism in Eukaryota, Metazoa, Chordata, Mammalia, Rodentia, Bathyergidae.